UACGGAGGGGGCUAGCGUUUUUCGGAAUCAUUGGGCGUAAAGCGCACGUAGGCGGUUCGUUAAGUCGGGUGUGAAAGCCCUGGGCUCAACCCAGGAAGUGCAUCCGAAACUGGCGAGCUGGAGUAUGGAAGAGGGUCGCGGAAUUCCCGGUGUAGAGGUGAAAUUCGUAGAUAUCGGGAGGAACACCAGUGGCGAAGGCGGCGACCUGGGCCAAUACUGACGCUGAGGUGCGAAAGCGUGGGGAGCAAACAGG
This 253-nucleotide ribosomal RNA is filed under the name uncultured bacterium. RNAcentral describes it as "partial 16S ribosomal RNA". It matches the Rfam family "Bacterial small subunit ribosomal RNA", at positions 524 to 776 of the family's 1533-position model. The record is from RNAcentral.